Molecule: ribosomal RNA, 253 nt
Filed under: uncultured bacterium
Lineage: Bacteria
Description: partial 16S ribosomal RNA
Rfam family: Bacterial small subunit ribosomal RNA
Source: RNAcentral
UACGUAGGGGGCAAGCGUUGUCCGGAUUUAUUGGGCGUAAAGCGCGUGUAGGCGGCCAGAUAGGUCUGCUGUGAAAACUCGAGGCUCAACCUCGAGCUGUCGGCGGAAACCAUCUGGCUAGAGUCCGGAAGAGGAGAGUGGAAUUCCUGGUGUAGCGGUGAAAUGCGCAGAUAUCAGGAAGAACACCAAUGGCGAAGGCAGCUCUCUGGGACGGUACUGACGCUGAGACGCGAAAGCGUGGGGAGCGAACAGG